Molecule: ribosomal RNA, 253 nt
Filed under: uncultured bacterium
Lineage: Bacteria
Description: partial 16S ribosomal RNA
Rfam family: Bacterial small subunit ribosomal RNA
Source: RNAcentral
UACGUAGGGUGCGAGCGUUGUCCGGAAUUACUGGGCGUAAAGAGCUCGUAGGUGGUUUGUCGCGUUGUUCGUGAAAUCCCACGGCUUAACUGUGGGCGUGCGGGCGAUACGGGCAGACUGGAGUACUGCAGGGGAGACUGGAAUUCCUGGUGUAGCGGUGGAAUGCGCAGAUAUCAGGAGGAACACCGGUGGCGAAGGCGGUUCUCUGGGCCUGACCUGACGCUGAGGAGCGAAAGCGUGGGGAGCGAACAGG